AUUGAACGCUGGCGGCAGGCUUAACACAUGCAAGUCGAGCGGGGUGAUGGUGCUUGCACUAUCACUUAGCGGCGGACGGGUGAGUAAUGCUUAGGAAUCUGCCUAUUAGUGGGGGACAACAUCUCGAAAGGGAUGCUAAUACCGCAUACGUCCUACGGGAGAAAGCAGGGGAUCACUUGUGACCUUGCGCUAAUAGAUGAGCCUAAGUCGGAUUAGCUAGUUGGUGGGGUAAAGGCCUACAAAGGCGACGAUCUGUAGCGGGUGUGAGAGGAUGAUCCGCCACACUGGGACUGGGACACGGCCCAGACUCCUACGGGAGGCAGCAGUGGGGAAUAUUGGACAAUGGGGGGAACCCUGAUCCAGCCAUGCCGCGUGUGUGAAGAAGGCCUUAUGGUUGUAAAGCACUUUAAGCGAGGAGGAGGCUCUUUUGGUUAAUACCCAAGAUGAGUGGACGUUACUCGCAGAAUGAGCACCGGCUAACUCUGUGCCAGCCGCCGCCGUAA
Molecule: ribosomal RNA, 503 nt
Filed under: uncultured bacterium
Lineage: Bacteria
Description: partial 16S ribosomal RNA
Rfam family: Bacterial small subunit ribosomal RNA
Source: RNAcentral